GUCGCUAGAUCUUAUGGAGCCGACGUUGAAAUACCACCCUGGUGUGUUUGAGGUUCUAACCUUGGCCCGUUAUCCGGGUUGGUGACAGUGUAUGGUGGGCAGUUUGACUGGGGCGSCAAUGAGGCCGCAGAGAAUCGGUGGCUGCAACUAGUUUAUUAAAAACACAGCACUCUGCAAAGACGAAAGUCGACGUAUAGGGUGUGACUCCUGCCCGGUGCUGGAAGAUUAAAUGAUGGGGUGCAAGCUCUUGACUGAAGUCCCAGUAAACGGCGGCCGUAACUAUAACGGUCCUAAGGUAGCGAAAUUCCUUGUCGGGUAAGUUCCGACCUGCACGAAUGGAGUAAUGAUGGCCACACUGUCUCCUCCAGAGACUCAGCGAAGUUGAAAUGUUUGUGAUGAUGCAAUCUCCCCGCGGAAAGACGGAAAGACCCCAUGAACCUUUACUGUAGCUUUACAUUGGACUUUGAACAGAUCUGUGUAGGAUAGGUGGGAGGCUUUGAAGUAAGGUCGCUAGAUCUUAUGGAGCCGACGUUGAAAUACCACCCUGGUGUGUUUGAGGUUCUAACCUUGGCCCGUGAUCCGGGUUGGGGACAGUGUAUGGUGGGCAGUUUGACUGGGGCGGUCUCCUCCCAAAGCGUAACGGAGGAGUUCGAAGGUACGCUAGUUACGGUCGGAAAUCGUGACGAUAGUGCAUUGGCAUAAGCGUGCUUGACUGCGAGACUGACAAGUCGAGCAGGUACGAAAGUAGGACAAAGUGAUCCGGUGGUUCUGUAUGGAAGGGCCAUCGCUCAACGGAUAAAAGGUACUCUGGGGAUAACAGGCUGAUACCGCCCAAGAGUUCAUAUCGACGGCGGUGUUUGGCACCUCGAUGUCGGCUCAUCUCAUCCUGGGGCUGUAGCCGGUCCCAAGGGUAUGGCUGUUCGCCAUUUAAAGAGGUACGUGAGCUGGGUUUAAAACGUCGUGAGACAGUUUGGUCCCUAUCUUCCGUGGGCGCUGCAAGAUUGAGAGAGCCUGCUCCUAGUACGAGAGGACCGGAGUGGACGCACCUCUGGUGUAUCGGUUGUCACGCCAGUGGCAUUGCCGAGUAGCUAAGUGCGGAAGAGAUAACCGCUGAAAGCAUCUAAGCGGGAAACUCGUCUCAAGAUGAGUCUUGCCGGGGCCUUGAGCCCCCUGAAGAGUCGUUCGAGACCAGGACGUUGAUAGGCUGGGUGUGGAAGCGCAGUAAUGCGUUAAGCUAACCAGUACUAAUUGCUCGUGAGGCUUGACCCU
Molecule: ribosomal RNA, 1269 nt
Filed under: Cenchrus americanus (pearl millet)
Lineage: Eukaryota; Viridiplantae; Streptophyta; Magnoliopsida; Poales; Poaceae
Description: bacterial LSU rRNA
Source: RNAcentral